UUUAGUGUGGUGUAUUUGUCACGUUACAUUUUGGUUGUAAAGGUAGUUUGUUACUCAUUAUUU
This 63-nucleotide transfer RNA is filed under the name Rhinebothrium sp. 1. RNAcentral's name for it is "tRNA-Gln". Lineage: Eukaryota; Metazoa; Platyhelminthes; Cestoda; Rhinebothriidea; Rhinebothriidae. The record is from RNAcentral.